GACGAACGCUGGCGGCGUGCCUAAUACAUGCAAGUUGAGCGCUGAAGGUUGGUCCUUGUACCAACGGGAUGAGCAGCGAACGGGUGAGUAACGCGUGGGGAAUCUGCCUUUGAGCGGGGGACAACAUUUGGAAACGAAUGCUAAUACCGCAUAAAAACUUUAAACACAAGUUUUAAGUUUGAAAGAUGCAAUUGCAUCACUCAAAGAUGAUCCCGCGUUGUAUUAGCUAGUUGGUGAGGUAAAGGCUCACCAAGGCGAUGAUACAUAGCCGACCUGAGAGGGUGAUCGGCCACAUUGGGACUGAGACACGGCCCAAACUCCUACGGGAGGCAGCAGUAGGGAAUCUUCGGCAAUGGACGAAAGUCUGACCGAGCAACGCCGCGUGAGUGAAGAAGGUUUUCGGAUCGUAAAACUCUGUUGGUAGAGAAGAACGUUGGUGAGAGUGGAAAGCUCAUCAAGUGACGGUAACUACCCAGAAAGGGACGGCUAACUACGUG
This 497-nucleotide ribosomal RNA is filed under the name uncultured bacterium. Its description in RNAcentral is "partial 16S ribosomal RNA". It matches the Rfam family "Bacterial small subunit ribosomal RNA", at positions 28 to 507 of the family's 1533-position model. The record is from RNAcentral.